Long non-coding RNA from Cavia porcellus (domestic guinea pig), 1770 nucleotides. RefSeq lists it as uncharacterized. The record is from RefSeq and is a predicted model, not a curated record. NCBI's taxonomy places the organism in Eukaryota, Metazoa, Chordata, Mammalia, Rodentia, Caviidae. The transcript is spliced from 2 exons.
AGACAGCGAUGGAGAGAGAUAGAGAUGCAGAGGGACAGAGACAGAGAGAGACUGGAGAGGUGUUUUUUUUGUUUUUUGUUUUUUUUUACCAGUCCUUAGAUAAAUAAGGGGAAGUACUGUCUAAUUCUGAAAUGGAGAGAUUGACCUCUGAUGGAAAUACGGUUGUUCAUUAAUUUAUAGUAACUCUGAGUUAGACAAUAUGUGGACCUGUGUAUUAGGAAGAGAGCAAGGAGAAUAGAGGGAAUCAGCAAAUUGUCUUCUGAUGGUUUUGAUUUUCUCAGGUGGGAAGCAGGGCUUUUAGCAGUGAGGAUGUAUGCAGUGAGGAUUUGUAGCAGAAGAUGCUCUCCUCUACCCCAGUCAGUAUAUAUCAGUCUGUGAGUUGCCCUGGUAACAGUUCCAAGUUCUUGUUACUUUUGUUUCUUAGAAAGGGCUGCUCACUAUGAUGCAUAUUAUAAGAACCAGUCCCCAAUCACAAGCCAUUCUACCUCUGUACUUUCUGCUUCUUAUCCCAUAUAAACCCUAGACCAACAGAGAUCAGGGCCUGAUAUUUGGGAGAAUGAUCCUGAUCAGUGCCUGGUGACAUCAAUAAAUUUGCCUCCAAAUCCAGGGUGUUGUUUUGCUGUUUCUGUUUACCAUUGCAGAUUCAAAGCAUGAGGGCAAAGGAAAAGGUAUGGAAUAGCCAUGCAGGAGACAAAUGGAGUGGGAAAUACAGUACGCCUGCCAGGGAGCAUUAAGGACUCAGCUGAGCCUCUCGAUCCUGAAUUUAAAAUGGAGCAGUGAGAUUGUUUUGUAUGUCUUUCUUCUGUGAGUUUGAAGUAGAUGGAAAGUUGGAUAUAAAUAGGAUCAUGGAUUGGGCAAACUCACAUGACUCAGUGAAAAAGGGAUGAAGACAUUGAAGAAUUUCAGCUGGGAAAGAUCCAUGCUGGGAAGGCCCAAAGGUCAGCGGUGGAAGACAGAAAGUCUAUGUCAGCGGGGUGAAGGAGCUGUGCUGGUGGAAUGGGGGUUCUAUGCUGGAGCCAAGAAGUCACACUCACAGCAAAGACCAGGGCUGUCCUGAAAGGCACAACAGCCAUCCUCAGUGACAUGGAGGCCCCGAGCUCCUCUGACGACAAGCACAGUCGGGUACAUGCCAGGAAGCCAUCCUGAAGACCAAGUGGCACACAUCUUCUCCUCCAGAGCCAGGAAGCAAUGCUCGAUGUGAGGACCAAAGCUUCUCCAAGAGAACUGAUGGCUCAAACAGCAACUCGUAGGAGAACCCAUAAUGCUUUAACGCAACAACACAUUAACGCCUCAACGCCUUAAUCUUCUCUACCUAUUUAUGCUGGCAACUUUCCUCAGGUGGAGCAUCUUUGCUCAAUGCCAUGCUGAUGUAAUCCAGCUGGCGUUAAGUUGACCACCAGUUAUUAAUCCAUAACACUAUCCCUAUGGUAUCCCCCUGCAUGCAGGUACAGCUAUGUAGAAUACUUCGUGAAGCCAACACAAUUUGGACACCAAACACAAUAAGGAUAAACAAACAAAAAUGAUGAAAAGUUUUGAGAGUGUAAGAACUGGGAUGACUAUGCGGCUCACUGAUAACACAUGUGGUCUAACACGUGAAGCCUGUCCCAGAAUGGCAAACAAAAACAAAAACAGCAGGAACAAAAUGAGGGGAACAGAGCUGAACCCUGCAUGCUGAAUAUGAAAAACAAUCACAUGGAAUAUAGUUAUCCAUAAAUUUAGGGCCAUUACAGCCUUAAAUACAUACACUAAAUAUAGUGAUAUAUAUAUAUA